UUUAUAUAAUACUGUAAGGGAGAUAAUAUAAAAUUAAUAAUAUAAUUUAUACCUUUUGCAUAAUGGUUAAACAAAGUUUUAAAAUAAUGUUUUAUCCCGAAAUUAGAGGAUCUAAUUUUAAUAUUUUAUUAGAAUAUACAUAUAUAAUGUUUCAAAAUUAUUUUAAAAUUAAAAUUAGUGGUGAAAGGCUUAUCAAAUCUAAUAAUAUCUGGAAUAAUUUUAAAUGUAUUUAGUACAUAAUUAAUUUUGAUUAAAGUAAUGUUGAGAUUUUUUUAAUAAGUAGAAUAUUUAUUUAAUGUUAUUUUAUUGAUUAAACUUUUAAUAAAUUUACAUAAAUAUUAAUUUAAAAUUAACUUAUCUAAUAUAGUAAAAUUAUAUUUUAAUAAUUAUUUAUAAAAAUAAUUAUGUUUAAAUAAGUAUAAAUGAUUAUUUUUAUAAUAGGAACUCGGCAAAUAUAUUAUUCAACUGUUUAUCAAAAACAUAGCCUUAUGAAUAAUAAUAUAAGGUGAAACCUGCCCAUUGAAAAUUAAAUAUUUAACGGCCGCAGUACUUUGACUGUGCUAAGGUAGCAUAAUAAUUUGACUCUUAAUUGGGGCCUAGAAUGAAAGGAUUAAUGAAAUAAUCUCUAUCUUUAAUAAAUUAAUUAAAAGUUACUUAAAAGGUGAAAAUUCCUUUAAGUUAUAAUAUAGACGAGAAGACCCUAGGAGUUUAUAUUUUUGUUGGGGCGACAAUAUAGCAAUAUUUAACCUAUAAAUUAUUAUUUAAAUUUAACGAAAUAAAAUUUUAAUAAUAAAGAAACUACCCUAGGGAUAACAGCAUAAUUUAAUUUUCUAAGUUUAUGACCUCGAUGUUGGA
RNAcentral lists this ribosomal RNA (855 nucleotides) under Antiquarion evelynensis. RNAcentral describes it as "partial 16S ribosomal RNA". The stretch from base 457 to 623 matches the Rfam family "Archaeal large subunit ribosomal RNA", at positions 1883 to 2090 of the family's 2987-position model. Lineage: Eukaryota; Metazoa; Mollusca; Gastropoda; Stylommatophora; Helicarionidae. The record is from RNAcentral.